GAACUGUAGCUCAAUGGUAGAGCCCUUCCCAAAAGGAAGUGGUUGCAGGUUCGAAUCCUGUCAGUUCCA
Molecule: transfer RNA, 69 nt
Filed under: Candidatus Melainabacteria bacterium
Lineage: Bacteria; Bacillati; Candidatus Melainabacteria
Description: tRNA-Phe
Rfam family: tRNA
About the family: Transfer RNA (tRNA) molecules are approximately 80 nucleotides in length.
Source: RNAcentral